CCAGCGGAGGGAUCAUUACCGAGUUUACAACUCCCAAACCCCUGUGAACAUACCACUUGUUGCCUCGGCGGAUCAGCCCGCUCCCGGUAAAACGGGACGGCCCGCCAGAGGACCCCUAAACUCUGUUUCUAUAUGUAACUUCUGAGUAAAACCAUAAAUAAAUCAAAACUUUCAACAACGGAUCUCUUGGUUCUGGCAUCGAUGAAGAACGCAGCAAAAUGCGAUAAGUAAUGUGAAUUGCAGAAUUCAGUGAAUCAUCGAAUCUUUGAACGCACAUUGCGCCCGCCAGUAUUCUGGCGGGCAUGCCUGUUCGAGCGUCAUUUCAACCCUCAAGCACAGCUUGGUGUUGGGACUCGCGUUAAUUCGCGUUCCCCAAAUUGAUUGGCGGUCACGUCGAGCUUCCAUAGCGUAGUAGUAAAACCCUCGUUACUGGUAAUCGUCGCGGCCACGCCGUUAAACCCCAACUUCUGAAUGUUGACCUCGGAUCAGGUAGGAAUACCCGCUGAACUUAAGCAUAUCAAUAAGCGGAGGAA
Molecule: ribosomal RNA, 533 nt
Filed under: uncultured Fusarium
Lineage: Eukaryota; Fungi; Ascomycota; Sordariomycetes; Hypocreales; Nectriaceae
Description: eukaryotic LSU rRNA
Rfam family: 5.8S ribosomal RNA (bases 167-320)
Source: RNAcentral